Molecule: ribosomal RNA, 239 nt
Filed under: uncultured cyanobacterium
Lineage: Bacteria; Bacillati; Cyanobacteriota
Description: partial 16S ribosomal RNA
Rfam family: Bacterial small subunit ribosomal RNA
Source: RNAcentral
GAUGAACGCUGGCGGUCUGCUUAACACAUGCAAGUCGAACGGACCCUUCGGGGUUAGUGGCGGACGGGUGGGUAACGGCGUGAGAAUCUGCCUCCAGGUCUGGGACAACAGAAGGAAAACUUCUGCUAAUCCGGGAUGAGCCUUUUUGGUUAAAAGAUAAAUUGCCUGGAGAUGAGCUCGCGUCUGAUUAGCUAGUUGGUGUGGUAAAAGCAUACCAAGGCAACGAUCAGUAGCUGGUC